Erinaceus europaeus (western European hedgehog) is the source of this 228-nucleotide long non-coding RNA. RefSeq lists it as uncharacterized. Lineage: Eukaryota; Metazoa; Chordata; Mammalia; Eulipotyphla; Erinaceidae. The record is from RefSeq and is a predicted model, not a curated record. The transcript is spliced from 3 exons.
AGAUCUCAACCUUAAAAUAUUCCAACGGUCCUAACAUCUGCCAGCAUCACAGGCAUCGGGGAUCAGCUGCUGGUAUCAGAGCAUGAUGAAUACAAAAUCAUGCUGAAAACAAAGAAAUGUGUGCUGUACUUGGGAAUAUAUGACUGAACACCGUCUGGCUGUGCGAAACAGGAUGAUGUGGAUAAUGAGGCAUUUGAAGGAGGAGGCACUGCAUGACCAGUGAUGGCU